AGCGUAGACGGCGCAGCAAGUCUGAUGUGAAAGGCAGGGGCUUAACCCCUGGACUGCAUUGGAAACUGCUGUGCUUGAGUGCCGGAGGGGUAAGCGGAAUUCCUAGUGUAGCGGUGAAAUGCGUAGAUAUUAGGAGGAACACCAGUGGCGAAGGCGGCUUACUGGACGGUAACUGACGUUGAGGCUCGAAGCGUGGGGAGCAAACA
Molecule: ribosomal RNA, 206 nt
Filed under: uncultured bacterium
Lineage: Bacteria
Description: partial 16S ribosomal RNA
Rfam family: Bacterial small subunit ribosomal RNA
Source: RNAcentral